AUUUAAAUAGUUUAAUAAAAAAUUUUGAUUUGUGGUGUCAAAGAUAAGAAUUUUCUUUUUAAAUU
Molecule: transfer RNA, 65 nt
Filed under: Sisyra nigra
Lineage: Eukaryota; Metazoa; Arthropoda; Insecta; Neuroptera; Sisyridae
Description: tRNA-His
Source: RNAcentral